Ictidomys tridecemlineatus (thirteen-lined ground squirrel) is the source of this 934-nucleotide non-coding RNA. The record is from RefSeq and is a predicted model, not a curated record. NCBI's taxonomy places the organism in Eukaryota, Metazoa, Chordata, Mammalia, Rodentia, Sciuridae.
GCUGCUUUUAUGUGAACUUCUGCAGACUGUGAACUUCUGAGCCCCUCCCCUUAAAUGCUGGUAUAAAAUUCCGAAACUACCUGAACUCGGGGUUCAGGGGAUUGAUUGAUUACAACAAAAGCUGUGCUCUCUGAACUGCAGCCAAAUAAAACUGUUUCCUGCUAUUUUCAGGGCUUUGCCUUGUCUGUCCCUACAACAUUUUGGAGACCCAGAUGGGACAGAGGAGGUAAGAAUGGCUGUUCUGCCUCUCUUGUCUCCGGCUUCCCGGGAGCAGUGGGGGACAGUGUUUCCCCUUAGCACUCACAGGCAAAUCUUGGUCUGAAGGAGAGGCCACUCACCCCGCGCCCUGGAGCUGCCAACCCGGAGCACAAUGGAACCCACAAGGAGCAGGAACCAGAAUUAGGGUUUCGGAGCACCGCCCAUCUGAACAGACUUCUGCAGAGGGUAUGGACUUGACCCCAAUGGGGAGUGGAAAAAAUGGUGAAGAUCUUUCCCUGAACUCUCAUCCUACUGCUGCAACUCAAAUCAAGCGUUCCCCGCUGCCCAGAGAGCUCAUUUUGUAGGUCAUGGUGAGUAGAAGAUGAAAAUGGAUAGAGACUGCCCAAGGAGAAUAGAAAUAAACAGGCUACUAAUACCAAGCCCCUGAGCAAUGGAGUACACAGGUGACUCACGCCUGUUCUGUCAUCAUAUUCCAACUCACUGACCAUACGACUGGGUCACAGAUGGGCCUGUGACCAAAUGCAUGAGUGCCCUCUUCAGCCUUCCUGACCAGAUGACCAAGAUGUUGGCUGAAGCAUCUUUGAUGACAGGAGACUCACUCCCUCACAACUUCUGGUCUUUUCUAUUUCACUUUCUUUCCCCACUCCUCCCAAUUAUUGAAAGCUUUAUGGUUAGCACUUCCUACACCUGCUGCAGCAGAGGUCUUGGAAGCCUA